RNAcentral lists this ribosomal RNA (258 nucleotides) under uncultured bacterium. Its description in RNAcentral is "partial 16S ribosomal RNA". It matches the Rfam family "Bacterial small subunit ribosomal RNA", at positions 523 to 776 of the family's 1533-position model. The record is from RNAcentral.
UAGCGUAGGGUGCAAGCGUUGUCCGGAAUUAUUGGGCGUAAAGAGCUCGUAGGCGGUUUGUCGCGUCUGGCUGUCGAAAACGCGAGGCUCAACCUCGCGCCUGCAGUGGGUGACGGGCAGACUGGAGUGCGGUAGGGGAGAAUUGGAAUUCCUGGUGUAGCGGUGGAAUGCGCAGAUAUCAGGAGGAACACCGAUGGCGAAGGCGAUCUCUGGGCCGUAACUGACGCUGGAGGAGCGAAAGCGUGGGGAGCAAACAGG